AUGCUGGGAACCCCCCCUCAGGGGAUCCCUCCUCGCUCCACUUCGUUUUCCCUCCUCGCUCCGCUUCACUUCACUUCACUUCGCUUCAUUUUCCCCUUGUUUCGUUUCACUUUCUCUUCCCACUCCCCUUUUCCUGUCCCUCUUGGCUUUUCCCCUCAGGACCCUCUCCCCCCCCCCCCCCCCCCCCCUCCCUCACCCCCGGCCGCCUCCUGCCGCCCGCCAUGGGGGCCUGGAGCCCGGCCCGGCCAUGAAGGGCGGCGGGGGGACCCGUUCCCACCUUCUGCCCGCCGCCAGGGGAGCACCGCGACGCCCGGGGACCGGCGGGGCUCCUCCUCGCAGUGGCUCCUGGACAAGGCAGCAAGCACCCCGUGGGCGAGCCGUGCCGGGUGCCCGCGGGGUGCAGUCCCUGGCGUUGCUUUCUCUUCGCUUUCUCCUCCUCGUCCGCAGGGCGAGCGCGCUCCCUGCGCCAGGCGCAGCCUUCCCGGCGGAGCUGCGCCUCCGUGCUUUCGCCCGGCCUGUUUAUUUUUAGGGGCUUUAGCGCCUGUUUGCGGAGAGGAGUUGUUCCAUCGUCAUGGCAACCCGGCUGCGUGUCUCAUAAACAUUAUUCGAGGGAACCUUUUCCAGCUCGAUCGAGGCUUCCUUUCCGUAACGAGGUUAGGAUCGAUGUGAAACGCCGAGCCUGUUGCUCGUGGUGCAGGGACACGGCCUCUUGUUCCUUGACGCGGAUGCUUUUACCCUCAGCCGGUUCCAUCUGCUGCUGGUAAACGUUCCCCGCAGCCUCUGCGAUGGCAGAGGAGGAGGAAAAGCAAAGUGUAAUCCACCGAAAGAGGAGCUCUCAUACAAUUACUUCAUGGCUUAUUAGAGGCAGUCACAUCAGCGUUAGAAACAAACCAAGUGCCAGAUAAAAAAAAAUGGAGUGUCUUUGAAGUUUGCCAUUCUUUUCUUUCCCUGACCGUUCCCAUGCUACCAAAAGGUGGGGAAGGCUAGAAAAUGCUAACUCGGGACACACAGUGCUCCUUUCUCAGACAGGAGUUAAAAAGAUGAAACAAACUGCUCCUAAACCCCAAAAUAUUUGCUAAUACCUCAAUUUCGUAUAAACUCACAGCUUGAUUUUCGAGCCAAGAGCGGAGAAUUUAUUGCAGCGUUUGUUUAAAGUAAAUAUGCCUGUCAGACUUGGAGAGGGAUUAGGCAAUGAAAACUGUGGAGCAGCUCUUAUCAUGAGGACAUCCUCCAGCGUUUCCUUCCAAGGAGCUUCCUGCCCUGAUAACCACGGCUUCUCCUUCAGAACGAGCUGAUUUUCCUGACUGCCUGGGAAACAACAGCGCCGUGAAUGCCAGGGCCAAGGGGA
This 1348-nucleotide long non-coding RNA is filed under the name Anas platyrhynchos platyrhynchos (common mallard). Its description in RNAcentral is "lncRNA (ENSAPLG00000029110.1)". Lineage: Eukaryota; Metazoa; Chordata; Aves; Anseriformes; Anatidae. The record is from RNAcentral.